AUUGAACGCUGGCGGCAGGCCUAACACAUGCAAGUCGAGCGGAUGAAGGGAGCUUGCUCCUGGAUUCAGCGGCGGACGGGUGAGUAAUGCCUAGGAAUCUGCCUGGUAGUGGGGGAUAACGUCCGGAAACGGGCGCUAAUACCGCAUUCGUCCUGAGGGAGAAAGUGGGGGAUCUUCGGACCUCACGCUAUCAGAUGAGCCUAGGUCGGAUUAGCUAGUUGGUGGGGUAAAGGCCUACCAAGGCGACGAUCCGUAACUGGUCUGAGAGGAUGAUCAGUCACACUGGAACUGAGACACGGUCCAGACUCCUACGGGAGGCAGCAGUGGGAAAUAUUGGACAAUGGGCGAAAGCCUGAUCCAGCCAUGCCGCGUGUGUGAAGAAGGUCUUCGGAUUGUAAAGCACUUAAAGUUGGGAGGAAGGGCAGUAAGUUAAUACCUUGCUGUUUUGACGUUACCAACAGAAUAAGCACCGGCUAACUUCGUG
This 484-nucleotide ribosomal RNA is filed under the name uncultured bacterium. RNAcentral describes it as "partial 16S ribosomal RNA". It matches the Rfam family "Bacterial small subunit ribosomal RNA", at positions 30 to 507 of the family's 1533-position model. The record is from RNAcentral.